AUACGGAGGGUGCAAGCGUUAUUCGGAAUCACUGGGCGUAAAGGGUGCGUAGGCGGUUUGAUAAGUCUGAUGUGAAAUCCUAUGGCUCAACCAUAGAACUGCAUUGGAAACUGUCAGACUAGAAUACUGAAGGGGCAGAUGGAAUUAGUGGUGUAGGGGUAAAAUCCGUAGAUAUCACUAGGAAUACCGAAAGCGAAAGCGAUCUGCUGGGAAGUUAUUGACGCUGAGGCACGAAAGCGUGGGGAGCAAACAGGAUUAGAUACCCGAGUAGUCC
Molecule: ribosomal RNA, 274 nt
Filed under: uncultured bacterium
Lineage: Bacteria
Description: partial 16S ribosomal RNA
Rfam family: Bacterial small subunit ribosomal RNA
Source: RNAcentral